This 71-nucleotide transfer RNA is filed under the name Leucocryptos marina. Its description in RNAcentral is "tRNA-Lys". It matches the Rfam family "tRNA". Rfam says of the family: Transfer RNA (tRNA) molecules are approximately 80 nucleotides in length. Their secondary structure includes four short double-helical elements and three loops (D, anti-codon, and T loops). Further hydrogen bonds mediate the characteristic L-shaped molecular structure. tRNAs have two regions of fundamental functional importance: the anti-codon, which is responsible for specific mRNA codon recognition, and the 3' end, to which the tRNAs corresponding amino acid is attached (by aminoacyl-tRNA synthetases). tRNAs cope with the degeneracy of the genetic code in two manners: having more than one tRNA (with a specific anti-codon) for a particular amino acid; and 'wobble' base-pairing, i.e. permitting non-standard base-pairing at the 3rd anti-codon position. The record is from RNAcentral. Lineage: Eukaryota; Cryptophyceae; Kathablepharidacea; Katablepharidaceae.
GGACGCAUAGCUCAAUGGUAGAGCAAUAGACUUUUAAUCUAAAGGUUCAAGGUUCAAAUCCUUGUGCGUUC